RNAcentral lists this ribosomal RNA (425 nucleotides) under uncultured bacterium. RNAcentral describes it as "partial 16S ribosomal RNA". It matches the Rfam family "Bacterial small subunit ribosomal RNA", at positions 354 to 796 of the family's 1533-position model. The record is from RNAcentral.
GUGGGGAAUCUUAGACAAUGGGGGCAACCCUGAUCUAGCCAUGCCGCGUGAGUGAUGAAGGCCUUAGGGUUGUAAAGCUCUUUCAGUGGGGAAGAUAAUGACGGUACCCACAGAAGAAGCCCCGGCUAACUCCGUGCCAGCAGCCGCGGUAAUACGGAGGGGGCUAGCGUUGUUCGGAAUUACUGGGCGUAAAGCGCACGUAGGCGGAUCGGAAAGUUGGGGGUGAAAUCCCAGGGCUCAACCCUGGAACUGCCUUCAAAACUAUCGGUCUGGAGUCCGAGAGAGGUGAGUGGCAUUCCGAGUGUAGAGGUGAAAUUCGUAGAUAUUCGGAGGAACACCAGUGGCGAAGGCGGCUCACUGGCUCGGUACUGACGCUGAGGUGCGAAAGCGUGGAGAGCAAACAGGAUUAGAAACCCGGGUAGUCC